GGGGAGAAAACUAGAAUUUACAAUUCAUGCCGCGUCGUGCUGAAAUCAAACGAAAACCAUCCCCCUUCUGCCACCGACCGCCACCGACCGAAACCCUAAUUCAGCAAAAAUACUGUUCUUGCUCUUUUACGGUCGCCAUCAUCAGCUCUCUCUCUCUCUCUCUCUUCACUGGACAUUGGGGCUUUCCUGAUCCUGCGCGAGAAGCAUGGGGAGGAGAAAGCUGACGGCGGCGAGGCUCGACGAAGGAGACGAAGCGGAGCACGAGCCGAAGUCCGCGGCGCCGCUCGUCGGCAGUGGCGACGACGACGACGAGGAAGCGAACGAAGAUCUGAGCCUGAAAAUCGUCGAGAAGGCGCUCUCGGCGCGCGCCGCGAAGCUCGCCUCCACGUCGCCGGGCGUCGGCGUGUCGGAGGAGGACGGCGAUAGAGCUGCCGGCGGCGCGGUCGUCGUCUUGCGGGAGAACGACGUGAUUAAGGAGGAGGAAAAGGCGGAAAAGGCGCAGAAGAAGGAGCGGAGGAAGAAGAAGAGCAAGGGGCGGGAGAAUCGGGAGCUAACUAUCAUUGAUGUAGAUGAGGAAGAGAAGGAGGAGGUUGUUAAUGUGACAGAGGUGCUGGAAUCAGUGGAUCCGAAGAAGGUUGAGAUAGCGGAUAAUAUCAUCCUACGAAAGCUUCUUCGCGGGCCAAGGUACUUUGAUCCUCCGGAUAGUAGCUGGGGAACUUGCUACAACUGCGGCGUUGAAGGCCACACGGCAGUUAAUUGUACAUCCCAAAAGCGGAGGAGACCAUGCUUCGUGUGUGGGAGUUUAGAGCACAAUGCAAAACAAUGCACAAAGGCACAAGAUUGCUUUAUUUGCAAAAAAAGUGGUCAUCGCGCAAAGGAUUGUCCAGAGAAGCAGAAGGCUGGCUCUCAAACUACUAAAAUAUGCUUAAGAUGUGGACAUUCUGGGCAUGAUAUGUUCUCUUGUAGGAGUAGCUAUUCUGCUGCUGAUCUUAAGGAGAUUCAAUGUUACAUCUGCAAGGAGUUUGGCCAUUUAUGCUGUGUGGAUUCUGUUGAUACUGAUCCUUGUGAAGUUUCCUGCUACAAAUGUGGUUGUCUCGGUCAUACUGGUUUAGCCUGCUCAAAAGUUCGCUUUGAUAGCAUGGGUGAUUCUACGCCUAGCUCAUGCUAUAAAUGUGGUCAGGAAGGCCAUUUUGCCCGGGAGUGUAGAAAUUCAACCAGGGGUGAAGUUACACCUAGUCUUUGCUACAAAUGUGGCGAAGGUGGUCACUUUGCCCGGGAAUGUAGGAAUUCAACCACAUAUGAAGCAGCACCCAGUACAUGCUACAAAUGUGGCAGAGACGGGCACUUUGCACGGGAGUGUAACAAUUCAACCAAGGAACGCAAGAGGAACCGCGAUCUGUCAACGCCAAAUAUGAGAUUUCAGAGAGAAGAUGAUGACUACAUGGGCUUUGACUCUGCACCUAACAUUAAUCAAAAUUCUGGUAAAAAGAAAAAAUUCAAGCAUGAAGAUAGAGGCCUUAGAACACCUCCCCAAUCGAAACGUAGGGGUGGCUGGAUCACAGAGGAUCCAGAAGACGUUCCACCCAGCAAGUUCACAAAAAGCCCGAGGUCUCCUGCAACACCAUCGCGUAAGGGUCACAUAUCUGGUUCCAAAUCUUCAAAUAAGUCACAUGUGGUGCAGUAUGGCUCCUAUGGCAGCUCCAGAUUUCAAGGAUCAGGCCAGAGAUCUUCUGUGUACAAUGGUUCAUAUGGCAACUCCAGAUCGCAAGGAUCAGGGCAGAGAUUUUCUGCUUCGAGGUUUGGGAACUCCAGAUAUGAUGGGAAUAGGAGAAACUAUGAUUGGUGGUAGGAACCUUCUUGUACGCAUAUGAGUAAGCAUUUGAAGCAGAUGAUAGGAGAAACUUACAGAAAACUAGUUUUUUAUUGGGGCCAUCUUCUACAUUCUUGUAUCUCGCAAGUAUAAAUUACGAGGAGAAUGUCGUGGAAGCAACCUUUCCUCUAGUUGUCCUCAAUGUUGUACAUCACAAGCAAAGAAUUUUUUUGGACUCUUUUAAGUUUAGAGCUAUUUUCCUCAAGUUCACUCCAAAUAAUUAUAAUUCAAUUAUCUCCAAUCUUUGCUGGAAUUAAGAAACGCCAUUUGUUCAGGC
Molecule: RNA transcript, 2147 nt
Organism: Eucalyptus grandis
Lineage: Eukaryota; Viridiplantae; Streptophyta; Magnoliopsida; Myrtales; Myrtaceae
Gene name: zinc finger CCHC domain-containing protein 7
Exons: 8
Source: RefSeq, a predicted model, not a curated record